UGGAUGUUGCAGUGUUACAACUGCUCAUCUUAAAUACUUGAGUGUACCCUGCUUUGCAGCGUAUUCGGUGUGAUAACAUCUUCACCGGAGUCAGUCGCAAGACACGUUUGCUAGGUUAUGGCUCUAUGCUUCAAACCGUCUGAAAGGACAAUCUCUGACAAUUUGACCUCAAAUCGGGUGGGACUACCCGCUGAACUUAA
Molecule: unclassified non-coding RNA, 200 nt
Filed under: soil metagenome
Description: partial contains internal transcribed spacer 2 and large subunit ribosomal RNA
Source: RNAcentral